AACGAACGCUGGCGGCGCGCCUAAUACAUGCAAGUCGAACGAGAAGCUGUAGCAAUACAGUUGUACAGUGGCGAACGGGUGAGGAAUACAUGGGUGACCUACCCUCGAGUGGGGAAUAACCAGCCGAAAGGUUGGCUAAUACCGCGUACGCUUCCCAGUCUACGGGUUGGGAAGGAAAGCGAUGCCGUGGGUAUCGCGCUCAAGGUUGGGCUCAUGUCCUAUCAGCUUGUUGGGGGGUAACGGCGUCACCAAGGCAACGACGGGUAGCUGGUCUGAGAGGACGAUCAGCCACACUGGCACUGCGACACGGGCCAGACUCCUACGGGAGGCAGCAGUAAGGAAUAAUUGCGCAAUGGGCGAAAGCCUGACGCAGCGACGCCGCGUGGGGGAUGAA
This 394-nucleotide ribosomal RNA is filed under the name uncultured bacterium. RNAcentral describes it as "bacterial SSU rRNA". It matches the Rfam family "Bacterial small subunit ribosomal RNA", at positions 29 to 412 of the family's 1533-position model. The record is from RNAcentral.